This 916-nucleotide ribosomal RNA is filed under the name uncultured archaeon. RNAcentral's name for it is "bacterial SSU rRNA". It matches the Rfam family "Archaeal small subunit ribosomal RNA", at positions 1 to 904 of the family's 1478-position model. The record is from RNAcentral.
UUCCGGUUGAUCCUGCCGGACCUUACUGCUAUCGGGAUGAGACUAAGCCAUGCAUGUCGAGCGCUCUUCAGCUAUGUAGAGAGCGCGGCGAACGGCUCAAUAACACGUAGUUAACCUACCCUCGGGAUGGGAAUAACCCCGGGAAACUGGGAUUAAUGCCCACUAGAUGAUUAUACCUGGAAUGGCUUAUCAUCGAAAGAGUCUGGAAACAUGCUUCCAGCGUCGCCCGAGGAUGGGACCGCGUCCGAUCAGGUAGUUGGUGGGGUAAUGGCCUACCAAGCCUAUAACCGGUACGGGCCCUGAGAGGGGGAGCCCGGAGAUGGAAACUGAGAAAAGGUUCCAGGCCCUACGGGGUGCAGCAGGCGCGAAACCUCCACAAUGCGCGAAAGCGUGAUGGGGUUAUCCCGAGUGCCGUCCGAUGAGGAUGGCUUUUUAUCGAUGUAAGGAUUCGAUAGAAUAAAGGGGGGGCAAGACUGGUGUCAGCCGCCGCGGUAAUACCAGCCCCCUGAGUGGUAAGGACGAUUAUUUGGCCUAAAGCGUUCGUAGCCGGCUUAUCAAGUCUUUUGUUAAAUCCAACGAUUCAAUCGUUGGGCCGCAAAAGAUACUGUUAUGCUAGAGGACGGGAGAGGUCGACGGUAGUCCAGGGGUAGGGGUGAAAUCCUAUAAUCCUUGGAGGACCACCAGUGGCGAAAGCGGUCGACUAGAACGUGCCUGACGGUGAGGGACGAAAGCUGGGGGAGCGAACCGGAUUAGAUACCCGGGUAGUCCCAGCUGUAAACGAUGCGGGCUAGUGUUGGGGCAGCCACGAGCUGCUCCAGUGCCGCAGAGAGUUGUUAGCCCGCCGCCUGGGAGUACGCCGCAGCUGAAACUUAAAGAAUUGGCGGGGGAGCACCACAAGGGUGAAGGCUGCGUUUAU